GAUGAACGCUGGCGGCGUGCCUAAUACAUGCAAGUCGAGCGAACAGACGAGGAGCUUGCUCCUCUGACGUUAGCGGCGGACGGGUGAGUAACACGUGGAUAACCUACCUAUAAGACUGGGAUAACUUCGGGAAACCGGAGCUAAUACCGGAUAAUAUAUUGAACCGCAUGGUUCAAUAGUGAAAGACGGUUUUGCUGUCACUUAUAGAUGGAUCCGCGCCGCAUUAGCUAGUUGGUAAGGUAACGGCUUACCAAGGCAACGAUGCGUAGCCGACCUGAGAGGGUGAUCGGCCACACUGGAACUGAGACACGGUCCAGACUCCUACGGGAGGCAGCAGUAGGGAAUCUUCCGCAAUGGGCGAAAGCCUGACGGAGCAACGCCGCGUGAGUGAUGAAGGUCUUCGGAUCGUAAAACUCUGUUAUUGGGGAAGAACAAAUGUGUAAGUAACUAUGCACGUCUUGACGGUACCUAAUCAGAAAGCCACGGCUAACUACG
RNAcentral lists this ribosomal RNA (495 nucleotides) under uncultured bacterium. RNAcentral describes it as "partial 16S ribosomal RNA". It matches the Rfam family "Bacterial small subunit ribosomal RNA", at positions 28 to 505 of the family's 1533-position model. The record is from RNAcentral.